ACCGAAUAGAUACCCGGGUAGUCCACGCCCUAAACGAUGCGAACUGGAUGUUGGGUACAUUACGGUACUCAGUGUCGAAAGCUAAACGCGUUAAGUUCGCCGCCUGGGGAGUACGGUCGCAAGACUGAAACUCAAAGGAAUUGACGGGGGCCCGGCACAAGCGGUGGAGUAUGUGGUUUAAUUCGAUGCAACGCGAAGAACCUUACCUGGCCUUGACAUCUGUCGAAUCCUGCAGAGAUGCGGGAGUGCCGCAAGGAACGACAAGACAGGUGCUGCAUGGCUGUCGUCAGCUCGUGUCGUGAGAUGUUGGGUUAAGUCCCGCAACGAGCGCAACCCUUGUCCCUAGUUGCCAGCACGUAAUGGUGGGAACUCUAGGGAGACUGCCGGUGACAAACCCGGAGGAAGGUGGGG
This 411-nucleotide ribosomal RNA is filed under the name uncultured bacterium. RNAcentral describes it as "bacterial SSU rRNA". It matches the Rfam family "Bacterial small subunit ribosomal RNA", at positions 772 to 1178 of the family's 1533-position model. The record is from RNAcentral.